CUACUGUGCCAGCUGGUGGAUCGCUCGGCUCAAGAGCUGAAGAAGGACGUGCCAAGCUGCGAUAAGCCUACGGGACCCGCACGGAGGGGAAGAACGUAGGAUUUCCGAAUGGGAAUCCCCACCGCAAUUGCUUCGCGCAAUGGGGAACGUCGAGAAUUGAAACAUCUUAGUAUCGACAGGAAAAGAAAGCAACUCGCGAUGUCGUUAGUAACGGCGAGUGAACCCGACACAGUCCAAACCGAAGCCUUCACGGGCAAUGUGGUGUUCGGGCUGACUUGCAGCACCAGACCAUCUAUGAGAAAUCUCCUGGAAUGGAGUACGAGACAGGGUGACAGUCCCGUACUGUAGGUUAGUAUGGUGUGUGUCAGUACCAGAGUAGCGGGGAUUGGAUAUUCCUCGUGAAUGUUGCGGGCAUUGACCGCAAAGACUCAAUACUCCUUGAGACCGAUAGCGAACAAGUAGCGUGAGCGAACGCUGAAAAGCACCCCAAGAAGGGAGGUGCAAUAGGGCGUGAAAUCAGUUGGCGAUAGAACGACAGGGCACGAAAGGUCCGACACGAAAUGAAUCAGGUGCGAACCUGUAGUAAGCCGUGUGGGAAGCCGGUGUUCUGUCGUACGUUUUGAAAAACGAACCAGAGAGUGUGUCUGUUCGACGAGUCUAACCCGAUCAUCGGGGAAGGCGGAGGGAAACCGAUAUGACCGCAGUGCUUUGCACCAGGGUCACCGUGUUCAAGCGCGGGGAGUCGACCGGACACGACCCGAAACCGGACGAUCUACGCAUGAGCAGGGCGAAGCGUGCCGAAAGGCACGUGGAGGCCCGUUAGAGUUGGUGUCCUACAAUACCCUCUCGUGACUUAUGUGUAGGGGUGAAAGGCCCAUCGAGUCCGGAAACAGCUGGUUCCAACCGAAACAUGUCGAAGCAUGACCUUCACCGAGGUAGUUUGUGGGGUAGAGCGACGGAUUGGGAGACCGGCCUCCGAGAGGAGUUCGCCUCCCUGUCCAACUCCGAACCUACGAACGCUGUUGACGUGAGGAGACCGGUGCGCGGGGUAAGCCUGUGUACCGUAAGGGAGACAACCCAGAGCUGGGUUAAGGUCCCCAAGUGUGGACUAAGUGCGAUCGAAAGUGGUGCCGAGCCCUAGACAGCCGGGAGGUGAGCUUAGAAGCAGCUACCCUCUAAGAAAAGCGUAACAGCUUACCGGCCGAGGUUCGGCGCGCUGAAAAUGAUCGGGGCUCAAGUCCACCACCGAGACCGAGCGACACCCGUCAGAGGGUGAUUCCGUAGGUUGGCAUACUGUUCGGGUGGAAGCACGGGAGAGAUCUCGUGUGGACCGUGCAGUAACGAAAAUUCUGGUCAUAGUAGCAGCGUUAGUCGGGUGAGAACCCCGACGGCCGAACG
RNAcentral lists this ribosomal RNA (1398 nucleotides) under Halostagnicola kamekurae. RNAcentral's name for it is "bacterial LSU rRNA". It matches the Rfam family "Archaeal large subunit ribosomal RNA", at positions 11 to 1431 of the family's 2987-position model. Lineage: Archaea; Methanobacteriati; Methanobacteriota; Halobacteria; Halobacteriales; Natrialbaceae. The record is from RNAcentral.